This 425-nucleotide ribosomal RNA is filed under the name uncultured bacterium. Its description in RNAcentral is "partial 16S ribosomal RNA". It matches the Rfam family "Bacterial small subunit ribosomal RNA", at positions 354 to 796 of the family's 1533-position model. The record is from RNAcentral.
GUGGGGAAUCUUGCGCAAUGGGCGAAAGCCUGACGCAGCCAUGCCGCGUGGAUGAUGAAGGUCUUAGGAUUGUAAAAUCCUCUCACCGGUGAAGAUAAUGACUGUAGCCGGAGAAGAAGCCCCGGCUAACUUCGUGCCAGCAGCCGCGGUAAUACGAAGGGGGCUAGCGUUGCUCGGAAUUACUGGGCGUAAAGGGAGCGUAGGCGGACAUUUAAGUCAGGGGUGAAAUCCCGAGGCUCAACCUCGGAACUGCCUUUGAUACUGGGUGUCUUGAGUGUGAGAGAGGUGAGUGGAACUCCGAGUGUAGAGGUGAAAUUCGUAGAUAUUCGGAAGAACACCAGUGGCGAAGGCGACUCACUGGCUCAUUACUGACGCUGAGGCUCGAAAGCGUGGGGAGCAAACAGGAUUAGAAACCCUGGUAGUCC